Poecilia latipinna (sailfin molly) is the source of this 3410-nucleotide long non-coding RNA. RefSeq lists it as uncharacterized. The record is from RefSeq and is a predicted model, not a curated record. Lineage: Eukaryota; Metazoa; Chordata; Actinopteri; Cyprinodontiformes; Poeciliidae. The transcript has 3 exons.
AAACAAGAAGAGAAGAAAAAGAAAGAAGCUGCACAGAAAAAGUGAAGCUGAGGCUUAUCCCAUCUGGUGAAAGGCAGGGUAUAACCUCGACAGAUCGCCAGGCCAUUGCAGGGUUUUAGAAAAACAUCCAUGCAUGCACGCAGCCUCUCUCCUAAGACCACAGAACAGAUAACCAAAGGUAAGUGUUUGAAGUUUCAAAAACCUGUUUUGUUACUCUUUAAGAGCAAAAUGUUGUUGUUUUUACACAUAAAAAGCUUAGUCUACUGUGCUUUCUGCUUUGUAAAUAAGAAGCAAACUUACUUUAAGGAUAAGAAAUUGUAUUUUUGUCUCCUUAGAUAGAGGCGCUUUGAAAAUCCCAGAGAGCCACUGUUUGAUCUCUGUGUGAGAAUAAAAAGCAUGAAGCUGAAUUAAGGUGAAACAUUUAAAGUUGAAAAUGAAAAUAUCUGGAGCCGGGUGGUCGGAACCGCCUGAGCUGAAUGUGGAUGAUGUAGGGAUGAUGCAGCUCCUCCUCAGGUCUCCCUGUCGGCUCCACAGGCUUACCUAGGAGAACGGAGGUGAGAAAGAAUCUCAGAAUAAAAGAAAAAAUAAAUCAAAUAACAAACAAUACAAAUGCAUAAAGGGAAUUGCCUUAGAAGACGUUGUGAAGAAGACUGGGCUUAGCUUGCAGGUUUUAAACUCUGGUUCUGUUAAAGCUUCACUAUUUAUUUUUGUCUCCUCAGGCCAGUGUUUGUAAAAAAAAAAAAAAAAAAAAAAAAUCCUUUUAUUGGGCUGAGCAAGCAUGUUUGGAGCCGGUCUCUGUUUCAGGACAGACGGGGGGGAGAAAAAUUCGAUUAGACCUUCAGGCAGUUGUUGACAGCAAGGCAUUAAUACAGCAAAAUUAGCUGUGAAUGUUGAAAUUUUCUACCGUUCAGAUAAGUGUUUGUUGCAGUGGUUAAAACUCUUUUUUUGUAACUAGGAGAAACCUUAUUUGUGCCUUUAUUACAUUAUAUCACAACUUUUAAGCAAAGAAAAGCCUCUCUCUAGUAAAUAACUAUUGAGAAACACAACAGCAUGUCAUGGCCUAAUAUUAGAAUUGUUUUCAUGUCGGAGAGAGGAAGGAAAUGAUUAAUGGUUUUAAUGAUUGACCAUAUUUAAAAAAAACAAGUAAGAAUUUUAUAUUCACACUAUUUAUUUUUGUAUUUAUUUAUUUAGUUUUACUUGAAUACUUGCCCUAAUUAUCUUGCAUCCACUAAUCAGGGUAUUUGUAAGACUGGAGCGGUAUGGAUUUUUUUCCUGUCCGCUGUAGUUUAUAUGAUGCCCUCCGAUCUAUACGGUCUAAGAAGAAACUUACAAUGCAGGAAUAAUUGCAGCAUUUCUUCCACAGUUUAUUUCAAGAAGUUUCUUAAACUGCUUCAGAAAGGUGAAUCAAGCCAGUAACGCAAGACCAUAUUCUGCAUUACUUUGUUACAAGGGCUGAAACAAUUAAUUGGAUUAAUUUUGGAUAAUCGAUCAUUGAAAUAAUUAACUAAUUUAGUAAUCGAAUAAUUAACCGGAGUAUACUUUAAACAUGACAUGUGAUGUAAGAACAACACCAUCAAAACAGUAAUUAAGCUAAAAUUGUACAAAAAAACAUGCCAGAACUCCUCAUCUGGCAUAGUUUUAGCGUCACCCGUUUCAAAUUACUUAAAAAAAAAAAUUAAUUUUUUUUGCUGUCUAAUUACUUACCAGUUUAUCAAAAAAAAAAAACAAGUCAAUUACAGAAAGGGCUGAGCUGUUCACAUGUUGCCUAAAAACCUUUAGACAACUCAUUUGUCUUAUUUAAAAAAGGAAUUGAAUUAUUACUAAAACGUUUAAGUGAUUAAAUAAAAAAUUUGCAGACUGUUCCAUUUUUUUAUUCGAUUACUUGAUUAAUCGUCCAAUACUCGCUUACUAACGUAAUCGUUAGCUUCAGCCCGGUUCUUACAGUUAACACAGCACUAACGAUAUUUAGAAAAAAACAUUAACAGAUUUCUUGAAGGUGAAUUAUAUUUUGGACUAGCAACUUAAAAAUAUAGAUUGUUUGUGAUAGUAAUUUAGGGUAGACUGGGAGCUAAUUAGGACAAUGAGGAAAGUGUGGGGGAUGAAUAAACAUGCAUCCGUCCUCUGGAGGUUUCCAGCAGCACCCGAAGCAUCUUAAUAAUGUAACUGCUUCCAUCUCCUGUCUGGUCUGGCAGAGAGGCCCACCCUGGGAGCAGAAGAAAGGGAGGGCUGCAAGGAAAAGGUUGAAAUUAUUAUAUUUUUUUUUUUUGCUGUUUGGUGCGAAGCAAAGAGAAGGUGAAUGCUGAAACGUGGGGGCUCAGGUUGAUCUGAGGGAGCAGGGAGAAAACUGUGUGCGAGAGCAAAAGAAACAGAUGGAGCUACGUGAAACUGAGACUGAACUCCAGUUUCCUGUUUGCCGACACAGCUGAGGGGGCCCGUUGUGGGUUGUUUCUCCUGGCCCACUUCUGUAACAGACAUGCAAACACAUGCUGCCUCUCUGUUCCAGUCCCUUAAUGUAACAGUCAAAUAUAGAUUUUUUUUUUGUUUUUCUUACUCGCUGUGUUUCCGAAAACACUCAAAACACCCAAGAUGUUGACAUGAGUUCAAACAUUAUCUGAAGCGUUGAGCUGAUUGCUGCUCAUUAGCUUCUGCUGCAGAAUUGACGGUUGCACAAGCAAUCCUUAUCCCCAGUGUUCAGGUCCUAAUGUUCUGCAUGAUUUAGUUUAUGACAUGUUUUCACACACCUGCGUCAUUAACAAGCUUCUGCACACCUUGUCAACACUGAGGAGGUAAUCUAAUCAACUGAUGGCUUUUAUUUUGCUGCUUAUUAUGAAGCCAAAAAGAAGGAAGUAAUGCAGUGUGUUGCUGAACUAUAUAUACUUUUUAAAGUUUUCGAUAAUUUGACAUUGCAACCACAGAUUUCAAUAAUGCUGUGACAGAGCAACACAAAAGUUGUGCAUAUGGAAUAUAACGCCUAGUUUUCAACUUCAUGUUUUAAACAAAGUGCUUAACACUGUUGUUUUUUUUUUUUUGUUCUCAACCUCAUUUAAUCUGUUGAAUAAAAUCCAGUCCAGCAGAAAUAGUCCACCUGCGUGUUAUUCAAACUCACUAUAAAUACGUCUGUCCUUUGAAGGCCUCAGAGGGUUUGUUAGAGAACAAAGAACGUCUUAAAGCUCAAGGAUCUCAGCAGACAGGUUUGGGAUAAAGUCGAGCAUCUCACUAUAAAAUGGAAAUAAUCUGACACAACUGCAAAGCUGUUAACCAGUGGCUAAACACCUUAACUGAGACCUAAGGAGCGCAUUAGGAAGGAGCAUGAGUGAUGGCGUUGCUGCAGUCAAAGAAGGAGCUCUGUUCAGAUGACACUUGAAAACUGUUUAUCUCAGUUGAUCUCUAUCUGAGUGAACUGGCAAAGA